CGUUUCUACGGGUACCUCGGUAUAACGUUGUAGUACUGGUUUGUGUGUCAGAGUGUGACCCCACACACUUGACAUCCAUCUCAGAAGCUUUUUUGGUUCCCGUUUCGAAAACGAGCGCGCGCAGAUAAAUCUGGAAACCAGUUACUGACCUAUUUACCGAGUAGAUUGGUUACCUCCCCUUAUCUAUCGUUACUCCCUAUAUAGAGAGGACCUCGGUGAAUCGGUCAGCAACUGGUUUAGUGAUGUAUGUUCCAGCUGGUAACAGUGAAUUUAUGAAGAAAAUAAGAAAAUAAGGACUUUGGUCGCCCAGGAAGAAAGUGGUUUUAAAGAUGUUGACGGGCAUUAUUCUAGAAAUGAGCCAUCAUUCCAGUAUGCUGAAAACAUCCCCUCAAGCUCUCCUGGUCCUAAAAAUGAGCACCAAAGGCCAAAGUGUCAGAGAUAAUGAUUGAACUGAUUCUAAAAAUGAGCCAUCCAGUAUUGGUGAAAUCGUCUCCUUCAAGCAUUCCUGGUUUCAAAAUCAGCAUCAAGGCCAAAGAGUCAGAGAUAAUGAUGAUGAUGAUGAUGACGAAGAAGCUGGCUUUGAACCUUCGAGUUCUGACGGUGCGGAAAUGGACUUGGCUACAGGCACAUCUUGUUUCAAGAACAGACAAGAAAGGGCAAGCUUAAAGGAUGACGAUGGGAGUGUUUCUAGAAAUGAGCCAUCCAGUUGUGCUGAAAACAACUCCUCUUCAAGCUCUCCUGGUUCCAAAAUGAGCACCAAUAGCCAAAGUACAGAGAUAAAGAAUGAACUGAUUCUAAAAAUGAGCCAUCCAGUAUUGGUGAAAACGUCUCCUUCAAGCAUUCCUGGUUCCAAAAUCAGCAUCAAAGGCCAAAGCGUCAGAGAUAAUGAUGAUGAUGACGAAGAAGCUGGCAUUGAACCUUCCAGUUCUAACUGCAGAAAUGGACUCAGCUACAAGCACAUCUUGUUUCAAAAUCAGACAAGAAAGGGCAAGCUUAAGGAUUAGGCUGGUAAUGAAGGUGAUGGUGACGAAGAAGCUUGCUCUGAACCUUUAAGUUCUAACGCACUGUUAAAAAAAAGGACACAUCUUCACGCACAUCUGGUGUCAAGUACAGAGAAGAAAGGGCAUGUAAGGGGUAAUGAAGGUGGUGGUGACGAAGAAGCUUACUCUGAACCUGUAAGUUCCAACGCACUGUUAGAAAAGGACACAUCUUCAUGCACAUCUGGUGUCAAGUACAGAGAAGAAAGGGCGAGCGUAAGGGGUAAUGAAGGUGGUGGUGACGAAGAAGCUUGCUCUGAACCUUUAAGUUCCAAUGCACUGUUAGAAAAGGACACAUCUUCACGCACAUCUGGUUACAAGUACAGAGAAGAAAGGGCGAGCGUAAGGGGUAAUGAAGGUGGUGGUGACGAAGAAGCUUGCUCUGAACCUUUAAGUUCCAAUGCACUGUUAGAAAAGGACAAAUCUUCACGCACAUCUGGUUACAAGUACAGAGAAGAAAGGGCGAGCGUAAGGGGUAAGGCUGGUAUUGUAUUAAAUGAUCAGCUCUCAUUGGAUUGUUGUGGAGAUUUGUCACCACUACCAACUUACAUAAAGAGUGCAUUUGGGUGGAUACCUCUUUAUUAAUGUACUGUGUUUCUAGUGCGUGUGUGUGUGCCUCGUACCUCACAAUGUCUGUUCAGUAAAUUGUAUGUUACACUUUUCGACUGCACGUUUUGACAACAAUAACUAAAAAAGAGGCCCAUGAGGGCCUGAAUCGCUCUACUGCUUUAAACACUGUCACUGUGACCUUGACCUUUGACCUAGCAACCUGAAAAUCAAUAGGGGUCAUCAGCAAGUCAUAAUCAAUGUACCUAUGAAGUUUCAUGAUCCUAGGCCUAAGCAUUCUUGAGUUAACAUCUGGAAACCAUUUUACUAUUUCGAGUCACUGUGACCUUGACCUUUGACCCAGUUACCUGAAAAUCAAUAGGGUUCGAGUCCUCAUUAAUAUAAAGACACUGAGCAAGUUUGAAAAGAAUGGGAUGAAAACUGUGGACGUUAUCGGAUAAACAAGAUUUUACUAUUUCAAGUCACUGUGACCUUGACCUUUGACCCAGUGACUUGAAAAUCAAUAGGGUUUGAGUCCUCAUUAAUAUAAAGACACUGAGCAAGUUUAAAAAGAAUCGGAUGAAAACUGUGGACUUUAUCGAAUGAACAAGUUUUUACUGUUUCGAGUCACUGUUACCUUGACCUUUGACCCAGUGACCUGAAAAUCAAUAGGGUUCGAGUCCUUAUUAAUAUAAAGACACUGAGUAAGUUUCAAAAGAAUCCGAUAAAAACUGUGGACCUUUUUGGAUAAACAAGUUUUUACUAUUUCGAGUCACUGUGACCUUGACCUUUUACCCAGUGACCUGAAAAUCAAUAAGGUUUGAGUCCUCAUUAAUAUAAAGACACUGAGUAAGUUUGAAAAUAAUCGCAUGAAAACUGGACUUUAUCGGAUAAACAAGACAACGUCUAACACACAGACACCAUGCCAUCCCAUAAGCUCUUCUGCCUUUGGCAGUAGAGCUAAAAAAUCAAAAUGCUUCUACCUACAACUUUGAAACUUCAUAUGUAGCUGCACAUUGAUGAGUUCCACACUCCACGCCCAUUUUUUGGUCACUAGAUCAAAUGUCAAGGUCACUGUGACCUCAAUUAUUUUUUUAACUGCACCCGCAGCCGAGCAUUGGCGUCCGGUAUGCGGUGCUCUUGUCUCAGGACCUUUAGUUAGACCCAAAGGUGAAGGUAAGGGUUGGCGAUCUUAAUUUCCUAUGAUAUAACUUGGUCAUUGUUUCAACAUAAUGGCCAAUUUGGGAAGCAUCCAUUAGCACUACUGAUAUCCUUGUUGUCCCCUACAAGUGAAACCGGAGGGGGCUUAUGGUUUACGCUCCGUGUGUCAGUCUGUCUGUCCGUCACACUUUACUGGAUCCUGCGAUAACUUUAAAAGUUCUUCAUAUUUUUUCAUGAAACUUGAAACAUGGAUAGAAUGCAAUAUGGAGAGUAUGCACGUCAUUUCAUUUGGUUCCUAGGUCAAGAAUUCUGGUUGCUAUGGCAACAAAUUUAUUUUUAAAAAAUCACUGACAAUGGUGGAGUUUCACCGGUAGGGGACAAUAUUGCUUGGCAAUCUCUUGUUAUAAGAUAGUGUAGGAAGAUUAUUUUUUUAAAAGAACCUCUUUCAAACCCUGAAUCUUCUGACACAGACCAUGAUGUGCCAGUAAGACAACCACAUGCAAAACCUGGGCCGUCCACAACUGUAACCAUGUCGGGUCAUCCCAAGAGGCUUCAGAAACUCGGUGAAGACCAGAGUCAUCUUUUGAAGACGCUGUUCAAAACGAAUAUUGCGUUGAGGAAGGAGCUUAAGCGUGAAGACUGUGAAAGAGUAAUGCAAAAAUAUGAAAUUCUACACGGAUUGUCAUGGAAUUUUUUUUAAAAAACACGAUUCAUAACUGGAUUACUGCUGAAAAGUGAAAACAAAAAUGAUUUUAUAGCUUUUUAGCCCACCUGCGCACAAUGUUCUCAUGGUGAGCUUUUGUGAUCGCUUUUUGCCCGUUGUCCAUCUUGCGGCAUCAACAUUUGCCUUGUUAAUAUUCUAGAGGUCACAUUAAUUGUCCGAUCUUCAUGAAAUUUUAUUUGACGAUUUGUCCCAAUGAUAUCUUGGAAAAGAUUACAAAUGGUUUCGGUUGGUUGAAAAACAAUAAUUUACACGCCAUAUACUCCAUACUUAAAUCAAUUUUGUUAUAUGCAAAGCAGCAAUGCUUAAAAGAAAUAAUACAAAUUUGGGAGGAGGCAUUACUCGUAUGAAAACAAGAUGGUGGUAUUUGUUAUAAACACGUGUAAAACAGUUGGAUUUUUCUGGCCAAAGACAACUAUUCAUACGACCAACUUCUUAAUUUUUGCAUAGCUCGUCAUAUUGAUUUCCAUUCAGAUUUACUUCAGAAAAAAUCUAUUUCAUAUCUCUGAUGCCAGUGCUAUACAUAUGUUUAUAAGAAGAGUAAAUCUGAGAUCCGUUUUCAUUUAUGAUAUUUGAAAUGGCAUGUUUAGACGAAGAUUCUCUACAAUUUUCUACAUAAAUAUAUAUAUAUAUUUUUUGUAAAAAUGGUUUCGGUUGGUUGAAAAACAGUAAUUUACACGCCAUAUACUCCAUACUUAAAUCAAUAUUGUUAUAUGCAAAGCAGCAAUGCUUAAAAGAAAUAAUACAAAAUUGGGAGGGGGCAUUACUCGUAUGAAAACAAGAUGGUGGUAUUUGUUAUAAACACGUGUAAAACGGUUGGAUUUUUUCUGGCUGAAGAUAACUAUUCAUACGACCAAAUUCUUAAUUUUUGCAAAGCUCGUCAAAUUGAUUUCCAUUGUAGAAUUUACUUUAGUUCGGAGUUGCGAACCGAAUUGACCAUGUUUUUGUUAGCAAGUAACACUGUACAACAAGGUCUAUUUUUUCUCCACUCAAUAAACAUGUUUUACUUACUCUGCAAUAGUUUAUGAGUUACUAAAUUCCUUUGAAACAUUGGACCAUUUUCUUUAUUAACAGAUCAUACUUGCACAAUUGUUGUUAUGUUUUCUUUAUGGUUAAGGCAUUGUGACAUGUAUAUUAAUUUGAUUUUUAUGCCCCCCGAUAGAGGGCAUAUAGUGAUCGGACCGUCCGUCUGUCUGUCUGUCUUUCCGUCACACUUUGCGUUUAGGUUUCGCAUUUAGGUUUCAAAAAAUGCUCAUAACUUCUAUGUCCCUUCAGAUAGCAACUUGAUAUUUGGCAUGCAUGUGUAUCUCGUAGAGCUGCACAUUUUGAGUGGUAAAAGGUCAAGGUCAUCCUUCAAUGUCAAUGGUCAAAUAUAUCACUUCAAAGCGGCGCAGAAGGGGCAUUGUGUUUACGACAAACACAUCUCUUGUUUCCAGAUGAUAUUGUCUGAACUUGACAUUAGUUCUAUGUGUGAUGAUUAAAGCAUUGUGUCAUGUAUGAAGAUAUUUUGCUUAAAUGUUUUCAUGUUGUGGUAUUCACUUUUCUAUAUACUUUGUGUCAGAAGAAAUUAAGUCUUUGAUUUUUAUAAUAUACAAUUGUAAUUAGAUUUUUUCCUAAUGAUAUUCUGAACUUGACAUUUGUUCUAGGUGGGAGGGUUAAGGCAUUGUUUCAUGUAUGAAUAUAUUUUGCUUAAACGUUUUCAUGUUGUGGUAUUGACUCUUCUAUAUAAUUUGUGUCUGAAGAAAGUAAGUGUUUGAUUUUCAUAAUAUACAUCUAUAAUUUGAUUUUUUAUACGCCCGUUUUUCAAAACGGGACGUAUUAUAGUUUCACCCUUGGCGGGCGGGUGGACGCCGCCGGUGGGUGGAUGGGCGGUUUCCACAGCAGUUUCUGCUCUCUAUUUCAAAUAGUUUUUAUCUGAUCUUCACCAAACUUGGUCAGAAGUUGUAUCUAGACAAUAUCUAGGUUAAGUUUGAAUAUGGGUCAUGUCGAGUCAAAAACUAGGUCGCGGGGUCACUUAGUGCAUUUCAGGAUUAAGUAUGGUUUCCGCUCUCUAACUGAAGAAGUUUUCAUCCGAUCUUCACCAAAUUUGGUCAGAAAGUGUAUCUAGACAAUAUUUAGGUCAAGUUUGAAUAUGGUUUAUGCUGGGUCAAAUACUAGGUCACGGGAUAACCAAGUGCAUUUCAAGGAUUUAGCAUGGUGUCCGCUCUCUUAAUUGAAGUAGUUUUUUUUGUGUACAUGAUAUUUAGGUAAGUUCAAAUAUGGGUCAUGCCGGGUCAAAAACUAGGUCAUGAGGUCACUUAGUGCAUUUCAAGCAUUUAGCAUGGUGUCUGCUCUCUAAUUGAAGUAGUUUUGAUCCGAUCUUCACCAAAUUUGGUCAGAAGUUGUGUCUAGAUGAUGUCCAAAACCUUCAAAAGGGCGUAUCCUAUGACAGUUUGGCACUCUUGUUUCCAGAUGAUAUUGUCUGAACUUGACAUUGUUCGAAGUGUAAAUACAUUUUUAAACUACUUUUUGUCAUAAAAAUGUUUGGGAGUAUUUUUUAGAGGAAUAAACUGUUUUAAAUC
This is a long non-coding RNA of Dreissena polymorpha, 6026 nucleotides long. RefSeq lists it as uncharacterized. The transcript is spliced from 13 exons. The record is from RefSeq and is a predicted model, not a curated record. NCBI's taxonomy places the organism in Eukaryota, Metazoa, Mollusca, Bivalvia, Myida, Dreissenidae.